This 686-nucleotide ribosomal RNA is filed under the name Streptomyces sp. RNAcentral describes it as "bacterial SSU rRNA". It matches the Rfam family "Bacterial small subunit ribosomal RNA", at positions 56 to 761 of the family's 1533-position model. The record is from RNAcentral. Lineage: Bacteria; Bacillati; Actinomycetota; Actinomycetes; Kitasatosporales; Streptomycetaceae.
UGCAGUCGAACGAUGAAGCCCUUCGGGGUGGAUUAGUGGCGAACGGGUGAGUAACACGUGGGCAAUCUGCCCUGCACUCUGGGACAAGCCCUGGAAACGGGGUCUAAUACCGGAUAUGACCAUCUUGGGCAUCCUUGAUGGUGUAAAGCUCCGGCGGUGCAGGAUGAGCCCGCGGCCUAUCAGCUUGUUGGUGAGGUAACGGCUCACCAAGGCGACGACGGGUAGCCGGCCUGAGAGGGCGACCGGCCACACUGGGACUGAGACACGGCCCAGACUCCUACGGGAGGCAGCAGUGGGGAAUAUUGCACAAUGGGCGAAAGCCUGAUGCAGCGACGCCGCGUGAGGGAUGACGGCCUUCGGGUUGUAAACCUCUUUCAGCAGGGAAGAAGCGAGAGUGACGGUACCUGCAGAAGAAGCGCCGGCUAACUACGUGCCAGCAGCCGCGGUAAUACGUAGGGCGCAAGCGUUGUCCGGAAUUAUUGGGCGUAAAGAGCUCGUAGGCGGCUUGUCACGUCGGUUGUGAAAGCCCGGGGCUUAACCCCGGGUCUGCAGUCGAUACGGGCAGGCUAGAGUUCGGUAGGGGAGAUCGGAAUUCCUGGUGUAGCGGUGAAAUGCGCAGAUAUCAGGAGGAACACCGGUGGCGAAGGCGGAUCUCUGGGCCGAUACUGACGCUGAGGAGCGAAGCU